This 188-nucleotide long non-coding RNA is filed under the name Mustela putorius furo (domestic ferret). RNAcentral describes it as "lncRNA (ENSMPUG00000025504.1)". Lineage: Eukaryota; Metazoa; Chordata; Mammalia; Carnivora; Mustelidae. The record is from RNAcentral.
GGAGAGAGAGAGAGCACGAGCAGCAGAAAGAGAAGGAGCAGAGUCCCUGCUGAGCAGCGAGCCUGAUUCGGGGCUUGAUACCAGGAUCCUGAGAUCAUGACCCAAGCCAAAGUCAGAUGCCCAACUGAGCCACCCAGUAAUUCCUACAUACAGUGUGAGGCUCAAACCCACGACCUCGAGAUCAAGAG